This 253-nucleotide ribosomal RNA is filed under the name uncultured bacterium. RNAcentral describes it as "partial 16S ribosomal RNA". It matches the Rfam family "Bacterial small subunit ribosomal RNA", at positions 524 to 776 of the family's 1533-position model. The record is from RNAcentral.
UACGAGGGGCCCAAACGUUAUUCGGAAUUACUGGGCUUAAAGAGUUCGUAGGCGGCCUGACAAGUCGGGUGUGAAAGCCCUCGGCUCAACCGAGGAAUUGCGCUCUAAACUGUCGUGCUCGAGGAAUCUAGAGGUGAGCGGAACUGAUGGUGGAGCGGUGAAAUGCGUUGAUAUCAUCAGGAACACCGGAGGCGAAGGCGGCUCACUGGGGAUUUUCUGACGCUGAGGAACGAAAGCCAGGGGAGCGAACGGG